CAGAGGGUGCAAGCGUUGCUCGGAAUCAUUGGGCGUAAAGGGCAGGUAGGUGGUCUCAUUUGUCGGGGGUGAAAGCCUUGGGCUUAACCCAAGAAGUGCCCCCGAAACGGUGAGACUCGAGUAUUGGAGAGGCGAGCGGAAUUCCCGGUGUAGCGGUGAAAUGCGUAGAGAUCGGGAGGAACACCAGAGGCGAAGGCGGCUCGCUGGACAAUUACUGACACUCAACUGCGAAAGCGUGGGGAGCAAACAGGAUUAGAUACCCUGGUAGUCCACGCCGUAAACGAUGGGUACUAGGUUUGGUAGGCUUUGACCCCUGCCGAACCGGCGCUAACGCACUAAGUACCCCGCCUGGGAAGUACGGUCGCAAGACUA
Molecule: ribosomal RNA, 372 nt
Filed under: uncultured organism
Description: bacterial SSU rRNA
Rfam family: Bacterial small subunit ribosomal RNA
Source: RNAcentral